AGGUAUGCAGCAGAGAUUGUUGGAGGUGGAGAUUGAUGAACUGCAAUGCAUGGAUGCUGAUGUGAGCUGGGCGGGCGGGCAUCGUGACGUCACUCCACCCUUCUGUCAUCACCCGAAGCCUUCAAGUAGGGCAUGACAGAUGGUGAUGAGAUGACGUCAUGCAAGUUGACGGUAGUGAACCGGGCAGUGAUG
This is a long non-coding RNA of Nilaparvata lugens (brown planthopper), 192 nucleotides long. RefSeq lists it as uncharacterized. NCBI's taxonomy places the organism in Eukaryota, Metazoa, Arthropoda, Insecta, Hemiptera, Delphacidae. The transcript has 2 exons. The record is from RefSeq and is a predicted model, not a curated record.